Molecule: ribosomal RNA, 409 nt
Filed under: bacterium
Lineage: Bacteria
Description: partial 16S ribosomal RNA
Rfam family: Bacterial small subunit ribosomal RNA
Source: RNAcentral
UGGGGAAUAUUGCACAAUGGGCGAAAGCCUGAUGCAGCGACGCCGCGUGAGGGAUGACGGCCUUCGGGUUGUAAACCUCUUUCAGCAGGGACGAAGCGCAAGUGACGGUACCUGCAGCAGAAGCACCGGCUAACUACGUGCCAGCAGCCGCGGUAAUACGUAGGGUGCAAGCGUUGUCCGGAAUUACUGGGCGUAAAGAGUUCGUAGGCGGUUUGUCGCGUCGUUUGUGAAAACCAGCAGCUCAACUGCUGGCUUGCAGGCGAUACGGGCAGACUUGAGUACUGCAGGGGAGAGUGGGAUUCCUGGUGGGGCGGUGGAAUGCGCAGAUAUCAGGGGGAACAACGGUGGCGAAGGCGGGUCUCUGGGCAGUAACUGACGCUGAGGAACGAAAGAGUGGGUAGCGAACAGG